RNAcentral lists this transfer RNA (77 nucleotides) under Yarrowia sp. B02. Its description in RNAcentral is "tRNA-Lys". It matches the Rfam family "tRNA". From Rfam's summary of the family: Transfer RNA (tRNA) molecules are approximately 80 nucleotides in length. Their secondary structure includes four short double-helical elements and three loops (D, anti-codon, and T loops). Lineage: Eukaryota; Fungi; Ascomycota; Dipodascomycetes; Dipodascales. The record is from RNAcentral.
GCCUGGCUAGCUCAAUCGGUAGAGCGUGAGACUCUUAUACCAUCUCAAGGCUGUGGGUUCAAGCCCCACGUCGGGCU